This is a long non-coding RNA of Mesocricetus auratus (golden hamster), 619 nucleotides long. RefSeq lists it as uncharacterized. The transcript has 3 exons. NCBI's taxonomy places the organism in Eukaryota, Metazoa, Chordata, Mammalia, Rodentia, Cricetidae. The record is from RefSeq and is a predicted model, not a curated record.
AUCAUAGAACAUGGAACUGUGUGAAGAAGGGAGCAGGCUGGGUUAGAGUCUCACCCCAAAUGAAGAGGCACAGGCUCAAUCUUGGCGGGAGAACAGUGUGCCUGAAGAACCCUUUGGAAGUGGCCCUGCACGCUGCCUCCUUUGAGUGGCUAAAGAUCUCGUCAGUCUGUACACCAGAGCCAAUGGCCACCCUCAGAGGUUGAACAACCCAGGAUGCGCUGCCUCCAGAUCCCAGAAGGCUAUGGGUCCCAGGGGUCAGCUGGGACAGCUCCUCCCUGAAAAGCAGAGGGAUACAAAAGGUCACCCCAAAGGGCAUGCGUGCAAGGCUUCCUGGAUCUUCUGGCGGCAACGAGAAUACUUCUGCAGGAUCUGUCGGAGGUGCUCCUCUUCUUCCCGCUGCAGGAUGCGUAGGAAAUUGUGCAGUUCAGGCAUGCUGAAGGCGUCCCACUGCAAAUGGGCAGAGGAGAGAUAUAUGGGCUACAGUAAGAAAUGGCUAAGUUGGCAGAACCUCUUCAGAGACCGGUGCCUCAGGGUCACACAAUCUAGGAUUGGGCUUCCUGCUAUCACCUUUUUCAUUCCCCAACUAUAUCUAUUUUGGUUUUGUUGUUAUUGAUUUUAA